GGGCAUGUGGCGGAAUUGGUAGACACGUACGUUUGAGGGGCGUAUGGCUUUGCCAUGCAGGUUCGAGUCCUGUCAUGCCCACCA
This 84-nucleotide transfer RNA is filed under the name Bacilli bacterium. RNAcentral describes it as "tRNA-Leu". It matches the Rfam family "tRNA". Rfam says of the family: Transfer RNA (tRNA) molecules are approximately 80 nucleotides in length. Their secondary structure includes four short double-helical elements and three loops (D, anti-codon, and T loops). Lineage: Bacteria; Bacillati; Bacillota; Bacilli. The record is from RNAcentral.